AGGGCAGUCUGGUGCCAGCAGCCGCGGUAAUUCCAGCUCCAAUAGCGUAUAUUAAACUUGUUGCAGUUAAAAAGCUCGUAGUUGAAUUUCUGCGUUGCCCGACUCGGCUACUUGCCUUGUCUGGUUUCGCUUUUGGGGUUUUCCCCUUUUUACUUUGAGAAAAUUAGAGUGUUUCAAGCAGACUUGUGUCUUGAAUACUUCAGCAUGGAAUAAUAAAGUAGGACUUUGGUUCUAUUUUGUUGGUUUGUGAACCUUAGUAAUGGUUAAUAGGAACGGUUGGGGGCAUUCGUAUUUAACUGUCAGAGGUGAAAUUCUUAGAUUUGUUAAAGACGAACUACUGCGAAAGCAUUUGCCAAGGACGUUUUCAUUAAUCAAGAACGAAAGUUAGGGGAUCGAAGACGAUCAGAUACCGUCGUAGUCCUAACCAUAAACCAUGCCGACUAGGGAUUGGAGGUCGUCAUUUUUCGACUCCUUCAGCACCUUGAGAGAAAU
RNAcentral lists this ribosomal RNA (492 nucleotides) under Babesia gibsoni. RNAcentral describes it as "SSU rRNA". It matches the Rfam family "Eukaryotic small subunit ribosomal RNA", at positions 552 to 1098 of the family's 1831-position model. Lineage: Eukaryota; Apicomplexa; Aconoidasida; Piroplasmida; Babesiidae. The record is from RNAcentral.